UCCGUAGGUGGAUAAUUAAGUCAGAGGUGAAAGUUUGCAGCUCAACUGUAAAAUUGCCUUUGAUACUGGUUAUCUUGAGUUAUUGUGAAGUAGUUAGAAUAUGUAGUGUAGCGGUGAAAUGCAUAGAUAUUACAUAGAAUACCGAUUGCGAAGGCAGAUUACUAAUAAUGUACUGACACUGAUGGACGAAAGCGUGGGGAGCGAACAGGAUUAGAUACCCUGGUAGUCC
This 229-nucleotide ribosomal RNA is filed under the name uncultured bacterium. RNAcentral's name for it is "partial 16S ribosomal RNA". It matches the Rfam family "Bacterial small subunit ribosomal RNA", at positions 568 to 796 of the family's 1533-position model. The record is from RNAcentral.